CCUACGGGAGGCAGCAGUAGGGAAUAUUGCUCAAUGGGGGAAACCCUGAAGCAGCAACGCCGCGUGGAGGAUGAAGGUUUUCGGAUUGUAAACUCCUUUUGUUAGAGAAGAUAAUGACGGUAUCUAACGAAUACUCACCGGCUAACUCCGUUCCAGCAGCCGCGGUCAUACGGAGGGUGCAAGCGUUACUCGGAAUCACUGGGCGUAAAGAGCGCGUAGGCGGGAUAGCAAGUCAGAUGUGAAAUCCUAUGGCUUAACCAUAGAACUGCAUUUGAAACUGUUAUUCUAGAGUAUGGGAGAGGUAGGUGGAAUUCUUGGUGUAGGGGUAAAAUCCGUAGAGAUCAAGAGGAAUACUCAUUGCGAAGGCGACCUGCUAGAACAUAACUGACGCUGAUGCGCGAAAGCGUGGGGAGCAAACAGGAUUAGAUACCCCUGUAGUC
This 440-nucleotide ribosomal RNA is filed under the name uncultured bacterium. Its description in RNAcentral is "partial 16S ribosomal RNA". It matches the Rfam family "Bacterial small subunit ribosomal RNA", at positions 338 to 795 of the family's 1533-position model. The record is from RNAcentral.